UAAUUGAAACCAAAAUAGAGGUCUAUCACUGUUAAUGAUAAAAUUGAGAACUAAACUCCAAUUAAA
This 66-nucleotide transfer RNA is filed under the name Scaptodrosophila lebanonensis. RNAcentral describes it as "tRNA-Asn". The record is from RNAcentral. RNAcentral also lists the same sequence under 1 other name. Lineage: Eukaryota; Metazoa; Arthropoda; Insecta; Diptera; Drosophilidae.